Molecule: ribosomal RNA, 378 nt
Filed under: uncultured eukaryote
Lineage: Eukaryota
Description: partial 18S ribosomal RNA
Rfam family: Eukaryotic small subunit ribosomal RNA
Source: RNAcentral
CAAUAGCGUAUAUUUAAGUUGUUGCAGUUAAAAAGCUCGUAGUUGGAUUUCGGGUGGGACGCAGCGGUCUCGCAUUGCGGUUGUACUGCUGCAGCCCUCCUUCUUGCCGGGGGCGGCCUCUCGGACUUCACUGUCUGGGGGUCAGAAUCGGCGAUGUUACUUUGAGUAAAUUAGAGUGUUCAAAGCAAGCUUACGCUCUGAAUAUAAUAGCAUGGGAUAACACGACAGGACUCUGGCCUAUCGUGUUGGUCUAUAGGACCAGAGUAAUGAUUAAGAGGGACAGUCGGGGGCAUUCGUAUUCCGUUGUCAGAGGUGAAAUUCUUGGAUUUACGGAAGACGAACAUCUGCGAAAGCAUUUGCCAAGGAUGUUUUCAUUGA